AGUGAACGCUGGCGGUAGGCCUAACACAUGCAAGUCGAACGGCAGCACAGUAAGAGCUUGCUCUUACGGGUGGCGAGUGGCGGACGGGUGAGGAAUACAUCGGAAUCUACUUUUUCGUGGGGGAUAACGUAGGGAAACUUACGCUAAUACCGCAUACGACCUACGGGUGAAAGCAGGGGAUCUUCGGACCUUGCGCGACUGAAUGAGCCGAUGUCGGAUUAGCUAGUUGGCGAGGUAAAGGCCCACCAAGGCGGCGAUCCGUAGCUGGUCUGAGAGGAUGAUCAGCCACACUGGAACUGAGACACGGUCCAGACUCCUACGGGAGGCAGCAGUGGGGAAUAUUGGACAAUGGGCGCAAGCCUGAUCCAGCCAUACCGCGUGGGUGAAGAAGGCCUUCGGGUUGUAAAGCCCUUUUGUUGGGAAAGAAAAGCAGCAGGUUAAUACCCCGCUGUUCUGACGGUACCCAAAGAAUAAGCACCGGCUAACUUCGUG
This 492-nucleotide ribosomal RNA is filed under the name uncultured bacterium. RNAcentral describes it as "partial 16S ribosomal RNA". It matches the Rfam family "Bacterial small subunit ribosomal RNA", at positions 29 to 507 of the family's 1533-position model. The record is from RNAcentral.